This 753-nucleotide long non-coding RNA is filed under the name Ananas comosus (pineapple). RNAcentral describes it as "long non-coding RNA (ACOM_LNC003009)". Lineage: Eukaryota; Viridiplantae; Streptophyta; Magnoliopsida; Poales; Bromeliaceae. The record is from RNAcentral.
AAAAUUGGUGUAUAACCAGUAAAUGACACGCGCUUCGCGACGGAUAAUCAAAUAAUAGUUAGUGAAUAUAAUGUUUUUUUAAUAAAUUAAAAGUUAAAAAAAAUAUAAGCAGAAUUGAUAAAAUAGUUAGAUAAGUGGAUAACAAAGUGCAUACAAAAUAAAGAUUAGAACUAUAUAAAUAAAUACUUCAAAUAAAAUGUGAGCAGAACUGAUAUUAUUUAUAUUUAAUUAAAUGCGGGCAUGUUUAAAAUAGUUAGAUUAGUGGACGUUGAGAGGUAGUAAGUAUAGAAGUAAGAAAAAAAACAAACAAAGCUGUAGAAAAGAUAUUAAAACGUUGAGGGGUAGUAAGCAUAGAAGUAGUGUUGUAAAAAAAAUCUAAAUAGUUACAGGGAUGGCAUUCUGAAACUGCACUAUUUUUUUGAAAAAGAAAAAACUGCACCAUAUCAACAAAGAAAGUUAAGGAAAAGCGUUGAGCAAUAGUAAACAUAAAAAUAGCAUUCUGAAAACUUGAAAAAGUUACAGGAAAGAUAUUCUGAAAGUAAAAGCAACAUGGAUAGCUGGAUACAAAGUAGGCAAAACCAACUAACUACAUCACAGAUUUGGAGGCAUCUACAUUUAGCCCAAAAAUACUCCAAAAUCUGAAGAGAUUAUAAGUAAACCAUUCCUAAAGCCAAAACUACACAGGCAGAUUACGUACAAAAUAGACAUAACAAAGACAGUAUAUCUUAAUCUUUGAGACCCCAACAUCUAAUC